This 532-nucleotide ribosomal RNA is filed under the name uncultured archaeon. RNAcentral describes it as "bacterial SSU rRNA". It matches the Rfam family "Archaeal small subunit ribosomal RNA", at positions 327 to 859 of the family's 1478-position model. The record is from RNAcentral.
GGGGUGCAGCAGGCGCGAAACCUCCGCAAUGUGAGAAAUCGCGACGGGGGGAUCCCAAGUGCCAUUCUUAACGGGAUGGCUUUUCAUUAGUGUAAAGAGCUUUUGGAAUAAGAGCUGGGCAAGACCGGUGCCAGCCGCCGCGGUAACACCGGCAGCUCUAGUGGUAACAAUUUUUAUUGGGCCUAAAGCGUCCGUAGCCGGUUUAAUAAGUCUCUGGUGAAAUCCUGUAGCUUAACUGUGGGAAUUGCUGGAGAUACUAUUAGACUUGAGACCGGGAGAGGUUAGAGGUACUCCCAGGGUAGAGGUGAAAUUCUGUAAUCCUGGGAGGACCGCCUGUUGCGAAGGCGUCUAACUGGAACGGUUCUGACGGUGAGGGACGAAAGUUAGGGGCGCGAACCGGAUUAGAUACCCGGGUAGUCCUAACUGUAAACGAUGCGGACUUGGUGUUGGGGUGGCUUUGAGCUGCUCCGGUGCCGAAGGGAAGCUGUUAAGUCCGCCGCCUGGGAAGUACGGUCGCAAGACUGAAACUUAA